Molecule: long non-coding RNA, 255 nt
Filed under: Phoenix dactylifera (date palm)
Lineage: Eukaryota; Viridiplantae; Streptophyta; Magnoliopsida; Arecales; Arecaceae
Description: long non-coding RNA (PDAC_LNC012213)
Source: RNAcentral
GAUGGUCCCUUUUUAGUUAGAAAGGUUUUUCCUCAUGGUGCGGUAGAAAUUCAGAACAUCAGUGAUGGUCGUGUCCUGAACGUCAAUGGUCAAAGACUGAAACCUUAUAUAGAGUGUGUUGCAGAUGGACAGUUAAUUGAAUCCCUUGAUUUGAUGGAUCCUAUUUAUCAGGAUAAUUAAGGAUGCACUGCGUCUGGCUGAAGACGUUAAACUUAGCGCUUGUUGGGAGGCAACCCAAUUUUCAUAGGUUAUUUU